RNAcentral lists this non-coding RNA (28 nucleotides) under Rattus norvegicus (Norway rat). The record is from RNAcentral. Lineage: Eukaryota; Metazoa; Chordata; Mammalia; Rodentia; Muridae.
UNCUAAGGUGGGAUAGUAUUCCAUGGUA